GGGCCUGUAGCUCAGCUGGGAGAGCGCUAUCCUUGCACGGUAGAUGUCAGGGGUUCGAGUCCCCUCAGGUCCA
Molecule: transfer RNA, 73 nt
Filed under: Ardenticatenales bacterium
Lineage: Bacteria; Bacillati; Chloroflexota; Ardenticatenia; Ardenticatenales
Description: tRNA-Ala
Rfam family: tRNA
About the family: Transfer RNA (tRNA) molecules are approximately 80 nucleotides in length. Their secondary structure includes four short double-helical elements and three loops (D, anti-codon, and T loops). Further hydrogen bonds mediate the characteristic L-shaped molecular structure. tRNAs have two regions of fundamental functional importance: the anti-codon, which is responsible for specific mRNA codon recognition, and the 3' end, to which the tRNAs corresponding amino acid is attached (by aminoacyl-tRNA synthetases). tRNAs cope with the degeneracy of the genetic code in two manners: having more than one tRNA (with a specific anti-codon) for a particular amino acid; and 'wobble' base-pairing, i.e. permitting non-standard base-pairing at the 3rd anti-codon position.
Source: RNAcentral